Amphimedon queenslandica is the source of this 567-nucleotide long non-coding RNA. RefSeq lists it as uncharacterized. The record is from RefSeq and is a predicted model, not a curated record. NCBI's taxonomy places the organism in Eukaryota, Metazoa, Porifera, Demospongiae, Haplosclerida, Niphatidae. The transcript has 2 exons.
AUCACUCCGCUGAAGUUAGCAGCACAUUUUGCAGCAGCACAUUCCUCACUUCAAAUUGAUUAAAUUUUUGUGGUCGAAGCCUUAUAACAAGGGUGGGGCUGGAUUAGAACUCGGGUGGAGCUGGUUGCUGCGCUCGAGCGAUCAUAAUUACUGUUUAUACCGAUAGAUUAUAAGAUGUUCUUUUAUAGGACAAAAAGAGCAAGACAAAAAGUGUAGGUCAAGAGAAUAAUAUUUUGUGACUUUUUUUGAUAGCUACGUUAAAGAAUUAGAUCUAAUACAAAAGAACUAUCAGGCACCAUAGUAUCUAUGCAGCUCAGGCACUUGACUAUAAGUGCAAGAUGAAGAUUGUUUACAUCACAUAUCUGAUAUCAUGAAUUGUGACAUUUUAAGCAUCAUUAUUUUAUUAUUAUUACUAUAUAAUGUUUUACAACACACAGGACAAGUGGAAGGGAGAGUAAGAUAUGAGACUUAGAGAGGGUUGAGUUUGUUCCACAGUCGGACAAUUCUAUUGAAAUAAAUGUAAAAACGAGUAUGAUGUUUAAGUAUAGUUGUGAAUCAGUUUAUGGA